GGCACGAGGCCAUUUGAGAUUUGACCCCAUUGUCACUCUGGACCUCAGUUCCACUUUGCCUUCAUAGGGCUUAUGUUAACAAAGCAAGGAACCGCGUUUUGCAUGUAUUGGCACAAAGCUGACCCAAAUGUAUGGGAAUUCUCCUACUCUGACACCCUGCUGUGGAUUUCCCGCCUCGUCCCACUGCGUCUGCAUUAGCCGUGCCUUCCACCAGACGAGAGAGCUCCUGCCUGAUGGACUUGCCUGCAGUUCCCUGGGUGAACCCCAACAGCAGCAAGAAGGGGAGGCGAAUCCACAGCUUGCUGUUCACAGGAGCACAAAGGCAGGUUUGAACUUCUGAGAGGUAAGCCCAGUUCUACUCUAGAUGGAGAGAGACCUGGGCAAAGGAUGAGGCUUAGUGGAACACUGCAUCAAAUGGGUCUCAGCAUCCUCGACAUUCCACCUGGAGACUGGGGUGGAGUAAUAAGAUCCUGGUGGAUGGCACCAUUGCUUGAGGCCUCCCUCCCCAUCUUUCUAAAUAAAAGGUUUUUGGGGGGCCCCUGGGUGGCUCA
RNAcentral lists this long non-coding RNA (551 nucleotides) under Vulpes vulpes (red fox). RNAcentral's name for it is "lncRNA (ENSVVUG00000006682.1)". Lineage: Eukaryota; Metazoa; Chordata; Mammalia; Carnivora; Canidae. The record is from RNAcentral.